CUACGGGUGGCAGCAGUGGGGAAUAUUGGACAAUGGGCGAAAGCCUGAUCCAGCCAUGCCGCGUGUGUGAAGAAGGCCUUCGGGUUGUAAAGCACUUUCAGUGGGGAAGAAAGCCUUGGGGCUAAUACCCUCGAGGAAGGACAUCACCCACAGAAGAAGCACCGGCUAACUCCGUGCCAGCAGCCGCGGUAAUACGGAGGGUGCGAGCGUUAAUCGGAAUUACUGGGCGUAAAGCGCGCGUAGGCGGUCUGAUAAGCCGGUUGUGAAAGCCCCGGGCUCAACCUGGGAACGGCAUCCGGAACGGUCAGGCUAGAGUGCAGGAGAGGAAGGUAGAAUUCCCGGUGUAGCGGUGAAAUGCGUAGAGAUCGGGAGGAAUACCAGUGGCGAAGGCGGCCUUCUGGACUGACACUGACGCUGAGGUGCGAAAGCGUGGGUAGCAAACAGGAUUAGAUACCCCGGUAGUC
This 464-nucleotide ribosomal RNA is filed under the name Vreelandella stevensii. RNAcentral describes it as "partial 16S ribosomal RNA". It matches the Rfam family "Bacterial small subunit ribosomal RNA", at positions 339 to 795 of the family's 1533-position model. Lineage: Bacteria; Pseudomonadati; Pseudomonadota; Gammaproteobacteria; Oceanospirillales; Halomonadaceae. The record is from RNAcentral.